RNAcentral lists this ribosomal RNA (166 nucleotides) under uncultured bacterium. RNAcentral's name for it is "partial 16S rRNA". It matches the Rfam family "Bacterial small subunit ribosomal RNA", at positions 355 to 510 of the family's 1533-position model. The record is from RNAcentral.
UAGGGAAGUCUUCGGCAAUGGACGGAAAGUCUGACCGAGCAACGCCGCGUGAGUGAAGAAGGUUUUCGGAUCGUAAAACUCUGUUGGUAGAGAAGAACGUUGGUGAGAGUGGAAAGCUCAUCAAGUGACGGUAACUACCCAGAAAGGGACGGCUAACUACGUGCCG